UACAGAGGUCCCAAGCGUUGUUCGGAUUCACUGGGCGUAAAGGGUGCGUAGGCGGUCAGGUAAGUCUGAUGUGAAAUCUCUGGGCUUAACCCAGAAAUGGCAUUGGAUACUAUUUGGCUUGAGAGUUGGAGGGGGACUGGAAUUCUUGGUGUAGCAGUGAAAUGCGUAGAUAUCAAGAGGAACACCAGUGGCGAAGGCGAGUCCCUGGACAACUUCUGACGCUGAGGCACGAAAGCUAGGGGAGCAAACAGG
Molecule: ribosomal RNA, 252 nt
Filed under: uncultured bacterium
Lineage: Bacteria
Description: partial 16S ribosomal RNA
Rfam family: Bacterial small subunit ribosomal RNA
Source: RNAcentral